Thunnus maccoyii (southern bluefin tuna) is the source of this 1277-nucleotide long non-coding RNA. RefSeq lists it as uncharacterized. The record is from RefSeq and is a predicted model, not a curated record. NCBI's taxonomy places the organism in Eukaryota, Metazoa, Chordata, Actinopteri, Scombriformes, Scombridae. The transcript has 2 exons.
CAAAGUGAGUUUGUUGAAUACUUUUGUGGUGUAAAACUCAUGUUACUUACUAGUAAUUUAUUAAAAGUAUUAUUGUUAAAAAGUAAAAUAUCAUAUAUAGAAAUAUAUUAAUGUAUCAAUUGUUAUCCAGUGAAAUUAGUGAUUUAGCAGGGGGGGGUUUGCCAGGAACUGUAUGCAUGUCACAUUCUCGUUAGGAGCUGAGCUCCACUAAAGGUCUGAUCCUAGAAUUGCCCCUGGAGGCUGGAGUGACACAGAAAUGGAAAAGGCUUGCAGAAAACAGCUGAAAAGUAAUGAUUUCUGAAUGACAGCAUGAAAUACAAAGAUCCUAGAGAAAGGGAGCAUUGAAGGGGGAGAAUGAAAGAACGACCCAGAAAGCAAGGUUAUUGCUAACACAUGGAACAGUCUGGCCUUUCACGCCAUUACUGUAUGGUUCAGCACUUCUCGCAGGAGAGAAAAGCAUGGGAGACAGAUAAAUGAAGUGAUGGAGACAACAUGUAUAGGAGGUGAAGAAACAGACUGAUGAGAAUAACAUCUGCAGAAAGAGAGAAACACAUGGAGAAGGAGGAAAGAAAAGCCCAGCUGUAGCCCUGCUCCCCCUGAGGCGACCAUUCCCUGGCUCUGAGAUGAGGUCAGCCCACCCUGGAGGGGGCAGUAUUGUUCCAGUAAGGGGAUUUGUCUGGGCAUGUCUACCUACUGAGAUCUCCCUCCAGCUGACCCACAGCCUGAGGGGACCAGCCAGAUGAGGCAUGAGAGGGAGGAAGAUGGACAUGUGUAUGUGUGUUUGUGUGUGUUUUUCUUUCUCUGUUCAUUUUAGUUUUCUUUCUGUUGACUUUUUGGACAUUACUGCUGUGCUGGCUUGUCACCUCUAACGCCUAGUGUCUCUAACAAUAGCUGAAAGUUUUAGGUACAAAAUCCUGUUAUGUAAUUUUGCUCAACUGCAGUGCUUUAGUUUGUGUUCUUACAUAAGAAUCACUCUGAUAACUUUGUUAUACCGCAACUCUCAGAGAGCGUCUUUGAUGUAGGAAAAGUAAAUCACUGAGUACAAUUAUUAUCACCAAUGUUUUGUGAAUCCAACUGCUGGUGUCAAUGAUAUGACAUGGUGUCAGAAUUAUAGAAGAAUUAGAUGAAAGGUUUAUUAAUGAAUGAGUAGGUGAAGGAACAGAAUUCUUAUACCAAUAUAAGCUACACAUACAGUACAAAUUUCUUAAUAUAGUUUGUCAAAAUAUACUUUACAUGAGUAUCACCUAUGUGGACAAAUAAACUUUGGAAUAUCGAUC